UGACCUCGGAUCAGUAG
RNAcentral lists this ribosomal RNA (17 nucleotides) under Fusarium culmorum. Its description in RNAcentral is "partial 28S ribosomal RNA". RNAcentral also lists the same sequence under 10 other names. Lineage: Eukaryota; Fungi; Ascomycota; Sordariomycetes; Hypocreales; Nectriaceae. The record is from RNAcentral.